This 639-nucleotide long non-coding RNA is filed under the name Sinocyclocheilus grahami. RNAcentral's name for it is "lncRNA (ENSSGRG00000042732.1)". Lineage: Eukaryota; Metazoa; Chordata; Actinopteri; Cypriniformes; Cyprinidae. The record is from RNAcentral.
UCUGUGAACGUCUCCAGCGUUUCUUGCUUAUCGCUUCCUCUUCUGUUCCCUCAGAUGCGUAAGAAGAGCCCGGUGAUCUCUCCAGAUGAGCAGGACGACCGCAGAGACACGUCGCCUGAGGAGCAACCACAGCUGACGACCAAACCGACCGAUGCAGAAGAAAACUGCAAGAAUACUGAAGAUGUGGAAUCUGGAAAUGCCUUGGAGAACAAGGAGAAAGCGGCCUUGUCCCGAUCGGCCUCCAUUAAAGAGUCUCUUCUGAAGGCUGCGGGUCCUAAACCGGUGCUGAACGAGGACCAAUCAGAGCCCAAACACACGAGUCAGCUGGAGUACCGCAGGACUCUGGCCACUCAGAACAGCGUACAGACGGCCGUCAUGGUGCGCGUGGGCACUGAGGAAGACGAGGAGGAAGAGGAGGAGGAUGAGAAGCCCUCUAGUCAAGAGCAGGACGUGUCGUAUGAGCUGAGCAACAGCAAACACAGCACACUGAUGUCAGGUGGGCACUGAAGAUGAGCUCUCUUCUCCAUUAAACUGCCUUCAGAACAUUUGAAAGACCUUCUCCUUACUGCUCUGUGUAUCUGAAACUGGAACCACUAACACUAUUUGGAUUUGCAUUUGAAACUUUUUAGUGAAUAAUAU